CUACGUCAUCAUAGCGGGCUGCGGGCUGCCCUGCGUUAGAAUGGACAACUCUAGCCUACUGUACCUACUUCCUCUCGUUCAAGUAUUAGGCGCAAUCUGGAAAUUCCAGGUUCUGCUGAGACGGAUGAUUCCAGUGCCGAAGAGGAAAAUUCGGAAAAUGAAUCAGCCACUAAAGAUGAUGCCUCUCUCUUCCACUGAUUGUUCACUGACAGUAUUUCGUGAGAAUUUUCCUUUUUUAGUUACCAUGUUACUUAUGCAUAUCUCCAAAAAUUUAUUUUCCUUGGUCAUCAUUCUUUGUCUGUAUUGUUCUUAUUUAAAUAUGUCUUGAUACUUAAUUGUCAGUAGCCAAAACUCUGAAUAUUUUUUUCACUGGCUGUGGGCAACAUUUUUUACACAACUACCAAGAUUUGGACCUUAGUCAAAUUUCGGUUAAUUUGCUCAACUCAAAGUGUUAAAAACAUUUUAUAAAUAACUUAAGUUCAUUGUGUUUAUGUUUGAAAGUGUCAUAAAGUCUCUUGCAACUGUCAUGGAGUUCAUUAAGACAAUAAGCCUAAUGAUGCAAUGAACAUUUGAGGGGCUUGGAGGACAAGGCGCAUAAGUGCAUUGUUCGAAAAAAUUGAGAUAUUAAUGUUUCAUCUAAAAGUAGACCUAAAAAUUCUGUGACAAAUUCACCGCAAAAAUUCAAUUUAAAGCAUCAAAAAGUGAGUCUGAACUUUUUUUCUGCUGUGGGCUCUGUGUAAUUUUGAAACUUUCAAUGCAUAUUUCUUGAAAGAGCAAAACCUGCACUUAUGCGCCUUGUCCUCCAAGCUCCUCAUUUGACAAAUUAGCUUUUUGCUGCAAUAAAUAUUUAGCCUGUGAUUUUGUGUAAGGUAUUUCUCUGACUUUAGUCAUUUGUUAGCAAACUAUUUCGUUUGAAAUAUUUAUUAUUGUGCUUUUAGUUUUUUCUCUCAUACUCAUUACUAUUUUCAACUAUUCAUUCAAUACGGUGGCCAGAUAUUUCUUGAAAUUAUUUGUUUUUGUGCCUUUAGUUUUUUCUCUCAUACUCAUUAAUAUUUUCCAAGUGCUCAAAAUAUUGUUUGUGUAAGCAGUUAAAUGAAAGUGUUCUAUUUUAUCCUUUCUUAAAAGUUUUCUCUAAGAUGAGCUUUUCACAUUCAUUUUUGGAAAUGUAAUGUAGUCUCUAAUUUAUUUUCUGAAUGACAAGUGGACGAUUUUCAACAAUGUGUUCCACUGAAUGUUGCAUUGUUGAUUUGGCAAAAGAGAUCUCUUAGUCUUUGAUCUCAUUAUUGUUCAAUUCACAUUGGUUUGUUUCUUUAAAAUGUCCAAAUAAUACCUUGAAGGUUUACUCUUAACGGGUUUAAAUAAGACUUGUUUUUUCUAUGACUUUUUUGUUUCCUCAAAGUGUCUAAAUAUUUCCGUGUAAUACCUUGAUGGUUUACUAAACAGGUUUAAAUAAGACUUGUUUUUUCUAUGACUUUUUUUUGUUUCCUCAGAGGUACAAAUAUUUCCAUGUGAUACCUUGAAGGUUUACUCAAUGGGUUUAAAUAAGACUUGUUUUUUCUAUGACUUUAUUAUUAUUCAAAGUUUUGUUCCUUCAUACUUCAGCUUUGUUCUUAAAAAUCUGUUUUUCCUCCUGUAAUUGUUUGAAACCGUUUCAAAGUUUUCUUCAGCAUUUCUAAUGUAAAGCUUUUAAGCAUAUACAUUUUUUAAAUUCAUCCAAACCUUAAACAAACCUAAAAAAAACAAAGUAUGUGGGCUUUCAAAUAAAUUCGAAUGUAUAGUGAUUAUUUUUUGGAAAAGGAGGAAGAAAAUUUUGAAGCGUCUCCAUGGAAAUUUCUUGUUAUUGGGCAUGAAUUUUCGUCCCUCACACAAAUCGACUUGACUGGAUCGCAACAUUUCUGUUACCAGGUCAAUACUUCACUCUCAAUCUAUGAAAAGUUUGGUAUUUUAGCCUGAAAAUAACACUUUUCGUCAAGAAAGAUAAAUUCAUUUUUCGAGCAAAAAUGUGUAAAAAUGAUAUGUUGACAGAGUUACUGAAAUGUCUCAGUCCAGAUGUGUUGCUUUAUGUGGGGUAUGGCGACUUACGCCUAAUAAAAAUUUAAAUAAGACAGGGUGUCUACAGGUCUGGAAAACCGGGAAAAUUCUGAGAAUUUUAUCAAAAAGACCGGAAAAGUUUGAAAAGAGUGCAUUCACACAACCUACCACCAGGCUGCAGGACUGGCUUUGUUAUGAGCAUGUAAUAGUUUCGUGAAUGUAAGAUUCAAGUAGGAUUUGGAAUUUUAGAUGAUUGAAUGAUAGAUACUGGAGGGGAAGAGGUUCACAUGCUUUUAUCAGUUACGGCGAAACUAAUUUAAAAAAUAGUGUACAUAAACAAAAAUUGUUCAUUUUCAGCUCUACGUGUCGAAUUGUCGAUGUACAAAAUCAGGGAAUUUUGAUCAAUAUGGACAGGGAAAAUUUGGAAAAGUCAGGGAAAUUUUUCUUCCCAAGUCUGUAGACACUCCGUAUGAAUACACCAUUAAUACUGAAUAAAAAUAUUUUUGAGACUUGCGCAAGAAACUGAUCGAAAAAAUUUUUGGUACUUACUCGCGCGAUAAAUUCAU
Molecule: long non-coding RNA, 2597 nt
Filed under: Bemisia tabaci
Lineage: Eukaryota; Metazoa; Arthropoda; Insecta; Hemiptera; Aleyrodidae
Description: lncRNA ENSASIAIIG004591
Source: RNAcentral